ACCAUAGAGCCUCACAUGGGGUAUUCACAAAAUAUUUUUUCAAUAAAUGAAUAAAGAAUUUCCUUUUUAAAGAUUAGAAAAAAACUAAAGCUCAAGUAGGCUAGAUAGCUUGACUCAUGUCAUACAACUAGUAGGAGGAGACUCAUGUCUGAAUAAAAUGUCUUUGGGAGUAUAUAUGCCCACUCACUCAAACUCGCAAACAUUACAUUAUUGUGAAGAUGGGAACUGGCUGGAGGGAGUUAGGGGCACGGGUAAAUGUCGGACAUUUCCUAUGUGCCGUUUCAUAUUUUUUGAGAUAUUCAGUGUUUUGUUUUGUUUUGAUCUUUUUAGGGCCACACCUGUGGAGGUUCCCAGGCUAGGGGUCAAAUUGAAGCUGUAGCCACAAGCCUACACCACAACCACAGCAACGCCAGAUCUGAGCCGCCUCGGCAACCUACACCACAGCUCACGGCAAUGCUGGAUCCUUAACCCACUGAGCAAGGCUAGGGAUCAAAUUGCAUCCUGAUGGAUGCUAGUCAGAUUUGUUUCCUCUGAACCAUGAUGAGAGCUCCCUAUUUUUUUUGAGCUAUUUGAAUACAUUACAUAGUUCAAAAAAGCACAUAAAACAUUUAACUCACCACUUGGAAGACUGACAUAUAAAACACCAAAGGCAAGCGCAAAAUUCCUUUAAAAUGUAAAUUAUAUAAGUAAAUGUGGGUUAAUACAAUUACACAAAGCACAAUUCUUGAAAUACGUCUUGAGACAAUUAUGAUUCGAAAAUAAUAGACUGGGAGGAAACCUCAAAUGUAACCACAAAAGCUUAGGUGGAAAAUCAUAAGGAAGAAGAUAAGCAAUGUGCUUACUCUAUAGUUUCUCAAUUUCUCCUGGAUGGCAACCUCUCUGGAUGGUGUUUCCGAAGAUGGUACAUUGAUUCAUAGGCACCUAACUAUCUUAUUUAAAUGUAUAAACAAUCUCUGAGAGCACUGAAAAGUUUCUACUCUUGUGGACAAUAAAAAACAAAGCAUAACAGAAAAUACCAUGGAAGAAAUUCAUAUGUCAUACGCACAAUAACCCCAUAGGGGUUCAUAACUAAAUUCCAGUUCAUGUUAAUAAAUUGUCCAAAAUAACUCAAAACUUUGUAAUAAUGAGCAAAGAUAUAAUUAGCAUAUGUAAGCAAAAAAGUAGGGGGGAUUUGUAAUAUCAAAAUGACACAAAAUAUAGGUUUGGAAAAGAUUCAUUAAAGGGGAAGAUGGUCCUUUUAAAAUUAUAAACAAGUUCUAAAUAAGCCUUUCUAUUUCACUGACAUAACUUCAGAAUACCUGAAGAAAAUAUCGCAGGAACUGAAAUGAGAAACAGAUGGAAGAGCAACGGGAGAGAGAGAAUUUAAGAGGUAAUAUUUUUGUCCUUGAAAUAUCAUAUAUAUAAAAGUUGUUACUACAUGAAAAUCUAAACAAUAGUGUCCAAGAAUGAUAUAUUCAAGUCAGUAAAUAAACAUAUAGGCUAAAAGCUAUAUUCUAUAAAAAGAGAAUAUAUUUUCAAUGGCCCCAGGAGCAUUUUACAAAAAAAUAUAAUCACAUAUUAGCCAAAAAAGAAAUACUCUUUUCAUUUCCAAGGAGGAAAAAUAGUUUAGAUCAUAUUCUUAAACCACAAUCUAAUAAAGUAAAAAUAAAUGUCAAAAUUAGAAACAAAACUCCAAAGCAUUUGACAUUUUAAUGCCAUUCUUUUCUAAAGAACUCUUAGAGCAAAAGGAACUAAAAAAAACAGAAUUGCACAGUGUUUAUAAAAUAGUGAUAAUAACAGAGCCUCAAUAUUUUUAUUACAAAAAUAAUGAAAAUUAUAAACAAAAUCCAUAAGUGAUUAAAAAAGACACAUGGUGAACCCAAGGAACACUAAUGGAAAGAAAUUAAUGGGGAUGAAAACAUAAAUAAAUUAAUUAGGAAACAGAGAAAAAUGUUAAAUUUCCAACAGCUUAUUCUUAGGGAAAAAAAUUUGAACUACUCACUUGCCCAUUCAAGAGAAAAAGAGAAAAUGAAGCAUAAACAUAAGAAUAUUAGAUGGGAGAAAACUAAAUAUUUAUGACAUAGGGAAUUUUAAGAUAAUAUUUUACUAUUUUACCCAUCUGUGUUAAUAAAUUGAUCAAGAUAGAUAAGUUAUACUAAAAUUAAACCAUCUAAAAAGGAUCUAAAUAUGGAAAGAAAAUACAAAACAAAAAUACAAAUAACCAGAGGUAAAAACUCACAAGGUUGCCUGAGUUAUACUUAAAAAUAUCACCAGGUUCAGAUGAUUGAAUGCCUGAACUUUAUCAAUCCAGUCACAGAAUAUCUAAUUUUAAUGUCAAAUGAAUGAAUCCAGAAAAAAAGCCAAAAAAAUCUGCUUUCUAUUUAUUGUUAUGACGUCAUGUGCCUAAUAUGCAAAAUUCGGCAAAUACAGCACAACUCUAAAGACAUAUUCAAAAACACACAUAAUAAAGCUAUGUAUUAAAUAUAACUCAAUAUGUCUCCUUUAGAGUUUAUCCCAAGAGGUGCAAAUAUGGUUUAAUCUGAGGAAUCUUAUUAGUAUAAUUCAGUACAGUUAAUUUAAGAAUAAAAGCCAUGUAAUUAUUUUGAUAGGAAAAAACUUUGGAUAAAAUUCCAACUUUUUUUCUGAUAAGCUUUUAUAUAUACAUUACAUAAGCAAACACUCCAAAUGGUUCAAGGUAUUUUGAAAAAAAAAUUAAACUUCAAGAACUUCAAACAAAACUUGGAAACUCUUUGUUAAGUCUCUAAACCUAAUUUCCAGUGUAUAGGAAAUGGAAGGGGUAAUGGAAUAAAUUAAGAUCAGGAGAAAACAAUCAGAUGGAUUCAGAUUUGGGGAAGAUAUAUGACAGUUUAUGACCAUAUACAUAUAGAGAUAGCAAUUAUCUUCAUAUAUAUGAUUCUCAAGUGUUCAGUGAUAAAAUGUUAGAAACAAGAGAAAAAUUGUUACCCAAUUAUUAUUAUUUUUCACAUUUUCUUGCGGAUUCUAGCCAAUGAAAUUAAGCAAGAAAAAAAAAUAAGAGACAAACAUGUUUAAAAGAAUAGAGAGAACAUAUUUAUUUAGGGGGGUUAUGCUAGAAGUGAGAAUCUCAGACUGAUUUCUUAAAGGCUUGCAUCUCUAGAAAGCUCUAUGGGAGUUGUCGUUGUGUUUCAGUGGUAAUGAAUCCUGCUAGUAUCCGUGAGGAUAUGGGUUCGAUCCUUGCCCUUUCUCGUGGUUAAGGAUCUGGCAUUUCCAUGAGCUGUGGUGUAGGCUGCAGGUACAGAUUGGAUCCCACAUUGCUGUGGCUGUUGUGUAAGCUGGCAGCUGCAGCUCUGAUUCGA
Molecule: long non-coding RNA, 3314 nt
Filed under: Sus scrofa (pig)
Lineage: Eukaryota; Metazoa; Chordata; Mammalia; Artiodactyla; Suidae
Description: lncRNA (ENSSSCG00000062323.1, ENSSSCG00110034405.1)
Source: RNAcentral